GAUGAACGCUGGCGGCGUGCCUAACACAUGCAAGUCGAACGGAGUCCAGCCUUUAAGACCUUCGGGUCAAAGAGGGGAAGACUGAGUGGCGGACGGGUGAGUAACACGUGGGCAACCUGGCUCAUAGAGGGGGAUAACAGAGAGAAAUUUCUGCUAAUACCGCAUAAGCACACACUGCCGCAUGGCAGAGGGUGAAAAGAGAAUCGCUAUGAGAUGGACCCGCGUCUGAUUAGCCAGUUGGCAGGGUAAGAGCCUACCAAAGCGACGAUCAGUAGCCGAACUGAGAGGAUGAACGGCCACAUUGGGACUGAGACACGGCCCAAACUCCUACGGGAGGCAGCAGUGGGGGAUAUUGCACAAUGGGGGGAACCCUGAUGCAGCGACGCCGCGUGAGUGAAGAAGUAUUUCGGUAUGUAAAGCUCUAUCAGCAGGGAAGAUAAUGACAGUACCUGAAUAAGAAGCCCCGGCUAACUACGUG
This 478-nucleotide ribosomal RNA is filed under the name uncultured bacterium. RNAcentral's name for it is "partial 16S ribosomal RNA". It matches the Rfam family "Bacterial small subunit ribosomal RNA", at positions 28 to 507 of the family's 1533-position model. The record is from RNAcentral.